UACGUAGGGGGCGAGCGUUAUCCGGAAUUACUGGGCGUAAAGCGCACGCAGGCGGUUCGCCAAGUUUGGAGUGACAGUUGGUGGCUUAACUGCCAAAGUGCUUCAAAAACUGGUGAACUUGAGGACGAGGGAGGAACAUGGAACUCCAGGUGUAGUAGUGAAAUGCGUAGAUAUCUGGAAGAACACCAAUGGCGAAGGCAAUGUUCUGGCUCGUUUCUGACGCUCAGGUGCGAAAGCCAGGGGAGCGAA
This 249-nucleotide ribosomal RNA is filed under the name uncultured bacterium. Its description in RNAcentral is "partial 16S ribosomal RNA". It matches the Rfam family "Bacterial small subunit ribosomal RNA", at positions 524 to 772 of the family's 1533-position model. The record is from RNAcentral.